This 431-nucleotide ribosomal RNA is filed under the name uncultured bacterium. RNAcentral's name for it is "bacterial SSU rRNA". It matches the Rfam family "Bacterial small subunit ribosomal RNA", at positions 28 to 477 of the family's 1533-position model. The record is from RNAcentral.
GACGAACGCUGGCGGCGUGCUUAACACAUGCAAGUCGAACGGUAAGGCCCUUCGGGGUACACGAGUGGCGAACGGGUGAGUAACACGUGGGUGAUCUGCCCUGCACUUUGGGAUAAGCCUGGGAAACUGGGUCUAAUACCGAAUAGGACCAUGGACUUCACGGUUUGUGGUGGAAAGCUUUUGCGGUGUGGGAUGGGCCCGCGGCCUAUCAGCUUGUUGGUGGGGUAAUGGCCUACCAAGGCGACGACGGGUAGCCGGCCUGAGAGGGUGACCGGCCACACUGGGACUGAGAUACGGCCCAGACUCCUACGGGAGGCAGCAGUGGGGAAUAUUGCACAAUGGGCGCAAGCCUGAUGCAGCGACGCCGCGUGAGGGAUGACGGCCUUCGGGUUGUAACCUCUUUCAGCACAGACGAAGCGCAAGUGACGGUA